CCGCCCGCCGCUUUCCUCCCUCCCCGGGCGGGUGGCAGCGCACAGUGUGCCCAUGGCAACCCCUCUGCGGCGUCGGGCGCGGCGAGGAGGAGGAGGAAGGUCCGCUGAAGGAGUCAGGCUCCCGGUCAGGGUGGCGGCUCCCGGCCGCGCUGCUCUGAGGGGCCGCCAUGCCGCCGCGCCGCCUCCCCCUCCGGCCGGUAGAGAAGCUGAGGCACUAAUACCUUAAGACCUACAUUUUCAUGCUUGACUUGCAAAGCAGCAGCCCAGCUCUUCACGAGUUCUAACAGCGUGAAAUCUAAUGAAACAGUGCUUGUGCGUUUUGGUGACGAUGACUACCCCAGAAGCUGUUAAGAAGAAGCGAAAUUAUACCAGUGUACAUGAGGCAGUGAGAGCUGGUGAUGUAGAACAGCUUGCGUCAAUGAUAAAAAGUGGAGCUGAUAUUAAUGAGGUGGAUUUAACCCACAAAUUCACACCGUUGCACUGCGCUGCACACUCUGGAAGCCUGGAGUGCCUUCACUGGUUGCUCUGGCACGGAGCUGACACCACACGUGUCACCGCGGGAGGCUGGACAGCCGCUCAUCUCGCGGCCAUCCGAGGGCAGGACGCUUGCAUGCAGGCUUUGUUAGUAAAAGGAGCAAACGCAGAAACUCAGGAUGACGGUGGGUGCACCCCAUCCCACUUGGCUGCGGCCCAUGGGCAGUCGUACACCUUACAAACCAUACUGAGAACUGGAGUGAAUGUAAAUGUUUCAGACAGGAAUGACUGGAAACCUGUUCAUUAUGCUGCUUUUCAUGGUCGCUUGGGGUGUUUGCAGCUUCUUGUUAGAUGGGGAGCGUGUGUAGAUGAUGUGGAUAACAAUGGAAACCUUCCAGCUCACCUGGCAGCCAUGGAAGGACACUUGCAUUGCUUCAAGUUCUUGGUCAGUAAAAUGGGCAGUGUCCCACGUACGCUGAAAGCCAGGAACGACCAUGGAGAGACUCCAAGGGACUUGGCUGAACGGUUCUUUAAAGAUAAUAUCCUGCAAUAUAUUGAUGAUGUGGAAAAAGAGGGGGAGCAGCCAGAGACACAGGAAGUUUUAGCUUUCCCAGCUCAUGGCGCUGCUUUCAAAGGGGACUUGUUAGUGCUGAGAAAAUUAGUGAGAAGUGGAGUAAUCAAUAUUAAUGAGCGGGAUGAUAAGGGAUCCACUCUCAUGCACAAAGCUGCCGGACAGGGGCACAUCCAUUGCUUGCAGUGGUUGAUUGACAUGGGAGCCGACUGUGGCAUUACAGAUGAUGCUGGAGAGACGCCAAGGGAUGUAGCCAAGAGAUUUGCUCAGCCGGCAGCUGUGGAACUUUUGACACAAAGAACAGGAGACAGUAACUCCAGCGACGAAGAACUGGAUGCAAACAGCAUAAAGUUUUUUGAAAGACACGGUGUGGAAGGGAGUACAGACAGCAAAGAAGAUUUAACCCUGGAUAAAGCAGAGAAAAGGAAUGCACGCAUAAGGGCCUAUCGCAAGAUUCAAGAACUUCAGCAACUUCUAGAAAUUGCCUACAGCAACUACAGACAGCUGGGAGGAAUAACUGAGGAGGAGAAGAAGAAGAAAAAAGAAGAAAGGGAAGCUGAGAAGUAAGGUCAACACACCCUGUUUUAACUUUGUGAGGCCCAUUUUAAAGCCUUCUUUAAGGCUAACUUAGAUUUCAGUUGUUUUAGCCAUUCUGUCCUUUCCACUUACCACCUGUAGCCAAGCCAAAAAAACCCAGACUUCAGGAACUGGGCCAUUUCUAGACUUCUACCACCAGGAUCAGCGCCACAGCACAAGACAAGUGUUCGAUGGGUCCACACCUCCUGUGCAAAAUGAUCUAUUUGGCCUUCAGGUUUUCCUGCAGCAUAUGUGCAGUAGGUCUGAAAAUUCCUGGCUGUUUUGUUUGCAUUGAGGGUCCCAAAUACAUUUAUGCACUUUCGUAAAUCUGAAAAAAAGCAGUCUUAGCAUUACUUGGGUGGAAGUACAUAUAUAGUAGAAAUUAUUCAAUGACCUGCUACAUUUCUGUGUCAAGUGCAAUAUAUUUCUUUGCUCAAGAAAGCAUUAGCUCAUAUCCAGAACACAGAAAAAAGAAAUCUCAGCAAACCUACCCUUGCAUGUGAAGCACUUUUCAUAGUGUCUGUCCAGUUCUCUGGGUCUCCAUUAAAUGAAAGGGCUCUGUUUGAUCAGGUGAUUUGAUGGGCAAACUAAGUUUGAAGAAAAGCUCUUCUGUCUAUCAAAGAUUGAGAGGUUAAACAAGAAUGCAGCAACAAAAUGACAGCCCUGUCUCCACCUCUACCUGUCAAAGAUUUGGCUACCCACUCUUCUCAGUCUCUCUAGAUAACCACGGCCAUUAUAUCUUUGGGCCACCACAAACCAAUGUCUUUAUUUGGUCACUGGGAGGAGACUCUAUCCCGAGGGCUUCUAUGCCAUCAGGAAGACAUCAGGCUUACCAGUCUGUGUAGAUCUAGAGCAGGUAAUAGGUGUCACAGCCUGGAGUUAAGUAGUUCAUUUUACAACCCCAUAUGAGCCAAGAAACUGAGGUCAGGCUUACUUUUAGUUACAGGUCACCCUUUGACUCAGCCUAGGCUGAAAGUCAGUCUUCCUUAACUUGAUAUGUCUGCACUGUAGGUACCCGCAUCUGAUAAGCAGAUCUGCAAUGCAGAUGUCUGCAUACCUUGAGCUCCUUUAUAGACUCCUUGGGGAGAUGUAGCUACUUUCAGGACAUAAUUAGAUGUGUACUUCAGGAUGAGGUUCAUCACUUCUAGGAGGGUCUCUCCUGGCUUUCAGGGAGGAGAGUGACCAGCUCAGAUGUUGGUGCCUGUGUUGGAAGGUCAGAGCAAUUUGUUUGCAAUUGUCAAAAAGUCGUUGUUGCUUAAUGGCAGAAAUUCAAGUUCAUUUUGGAUACAGCAGCUAUCCAAAAGCUAGCAGUGUCUACUAGAGGGCCCUGAUAAGGCUUUUUAAGGGAUUUUGCUUUCGUAGAAUCAUUUCAGUUGGAAGAGACCCUCAGGAUCAUUGACUUCAACAAUAACCUAAUUCUAGCACUAAACCAUGUCCCUAAGAACCUCUUCUACACUCCUUUUAAACCUCUCCAGCGAUGGUGACCCCACCACUGCCCUGGGCAGCCUGUUCCAAUGACUGACAACCCUUUCUGUGAAUACAUUUUUCCUAAUAUCCAAUCUAAGCCUCUCCUGAUGCAACUUGAGGCCAACACCCUCCGUGCUACAACCUCCUUUCAGGAGGUUCUGUGGCAUGUGUGGUUAAGCUAGAAAAAUCGUGAGGAUCUCUGAACGGUUCUCCCUCAUCUCCAGAGGCCAGAGAGGAUCUCUAGCUCCACACCGGCCUUUUGAAAUGGAAAUACCCCUUCUCAGGGUACCUACCUAUGGAUAAACUCCAAGAUGCUUGUAUCAUAUGCCAGAAAACUCUCAUUAUUUAAAAACAUUUAUUGACAACAACAUUGUGCUAGAUGAAAAGCAGGAAUUUCCAUUUGGGAAAGCCACUGUAGCAGGUUUUGGAGAUUUCUCCUUUAGUCCAGGUUUUCCGGCUGUAAGGCCGGGUGUGAACCACUGCGCAGUGCUUUCGUUAGGCUGCGUUGCAUGGAUAAAAUUAGCACUGUGUGCCAAAUAAUUUUGCAGCUAUAUCUCAUUAAUCUGAAGUGUGCAAGUAGCCAGCCUGUCCACCCGAGCACCGAGUUCCCUGCAUGAGCACGGGCCAUUUGUACGGUGUCAGGAAGGCUGAUACAGCCUCGUGGCUUUGGGCUGCAUGAAUCAGAGAAUGUCCUGACUUGGAAGGUACCCACAAGGAUCAUUGAGUCCAACUCCUGUCCCUGCACAGGACAACCCCAAUAUUCACGCCAUGUAUGUGAGAAUGUUGUCCAGUCUCUUCUUGAACACUGUCAGGCUUGGGGCCGUGACACCUCCCUGGGGAGCCUGUUCAGUGUCCAGCACCCUCUGGGGGAAGAACCUUUUCCUCAUGUCCAACCUAAACCUCCCCUGGCACAUCUUCCUGCCAUUCCCUCGGGUUCUGUCACUGGUCACCAGAGAGAAGAGCUCAGCCCUGCCCCUCCUCCUCUCCUUGUGAGGAAGCUGUAGCUGCCAUGAGCUCUCCCCUCAGUCUCCUCCAGGCUGAACAAACCCCGUGACUUUAGCUGCUUCUCAUACAGUUUACCCUCCAAAACCUUAAUCAAGGGUUGGCAAUAUUUCAGUCCAGGAAAUGCGGUAGCUCUUGCUGAGAGCUUUCCUGCUGUGCUGUUUGAAUCCACAGGGCAGAUGUCUCCCUUUUCCUUUUACCAAUCUUCCAUCUUUGUAGCUGCACUAAUUCAUCCUGAUACAGAGGAGAGCCAGCUCAACUCCAGAUGACUCAGUUGUUGCGGUCAAUUGCUGUUAUAAUAAGAAUACAUGUGAAUUAUGUCUCAGCUAACCAGUUCCAGGAAUCUCAGUUAAUUUGGGAGCUGUUGUGGGUGUGACAGAUCAGGUCUUGUGCAAGUGUGUAUCAGCCAGCGCUUCAGUUUCCCUUUCGUAAGUGUCAUGCAGGCUGUCACUUGAGCAUUCCUCAUCUGUGGCUAAGCCAAUCAAUAGGAAGGAUGUAGAGGUACCAUAUGUUAAUGAAAAAGCUGCCUCUGACCACUCCAGAGUCUUGGUUUUGUGCUUUUUUUCUGUUUCAUACUAACCUUUUUGCUCCUCUGGCAUGUCUGCCUCCUCUGCAGCUGGAGCAACAGCCUACCCAAGAGCUUCGUACUGUUCGGGGUGUGGGAAGACAUCUCCAUCUCGUGGCCAGAUUGCGCUGAGCACGAAGGAGGAAAAACAGCUCUCCAGAGCUGCUAGCAGGGGUCUGGAGCCAGGAGCACGCUGCAGCUCACACCACUGAGUUCUAAGCUGCUUUCAGCUGGGACUAAGGGCUGUGAGGGAGCUGGAGGCCCAGCUGGAAGAGGAGCGAGUCAGGCGGGAGAAGCUGGAGAGCCAGCUGGAUGAGUACCGCGCCGAGAUCAGCCGCCUGAGAGACAGCCUGGCGAAAACCCGCGGC
RNA transcript from Columba livia (rock pigeon), 5023 nucleotides. It is a transcript of the gene named ankyrin repeat domain 42, with no coding region annotated. The transcript has 12 exons. NCBI's taxonomy places the organism in Eukaryota, Metazoa, Chordata, Aves, Columbiformes, Columbidae. The record is from RefSeq and is a predicted model, not a curated record.